ACUCUGGUCCGGCCGGGCCUAACCCUCUGUGGAACUCCCAUGCCCUUCACUGGGUGUGGCGGGGAUAACAGGACUUUUACUGUGAAAAAAUUAGAGUGCUCCAGGCAGGCCUAUGCUCGCAAUACAUUAGCAUGGAAUAAUAGAAUAGGACGUGUGGUUCUAUUUUGUUGGUCUUCUAGGACCGCCGUAAUGAUUAAUAGGGACAGUCGGGGGCAUCAGCUAUUCAAUUGUCAGAGGUGAAAUUCUUGGAUUUAUUGAAGACUAACUACUGCGAUUAAGCAUUUGCCAAGAGAUGUUCUUCAUUAAUCAGGAACGAAAGUUAGGGGAUCGAAGACGAUCAGAUACCGUAGCGUAGUCUUAACCAUAAACUAUGCCGACUAGGGAUCGGACGGUGUUAUUUUUUGACCCGUUCGGCACCUUACGAGAAGUUCAAAGUGCUUGGGCUCCAGGGGGAGUAUGGUCGCAAGGCUGAAACUUAAAGAAAUUGACGGAAGGGCACCACCAGGGUUGUGGAGCCUGCGGGUUAACUCGU
Molecule: ribosomal RNA, 532 nt
Filed under: Fusarium incarnatum
Lineage: Eukaryota; Fungi; Ascomycota; Sordariomycetes; Hypocreales; Nectriaceae
Description: SSU rRNA
Rfam family: Eukaryotic small subunit ribosomal RNA
Source: RNAcentral